GGGUCGUUUCUAAGAGGUCUGGGGUGUGAAACCAAGAACUCCUAACAUGAUGACCAAAGACUGAAGUUCUGCAUGGGUGCCCCCGUCACUCAACAGUGCUGUGUGGAGAUGUAAGA
RNAcentral lists this small nucleolar RNA (116 nucleotides) under Castor canadensis (American beaver). Its description in RNAcentral is "Small nucleolar RNA SNORA25 (ENSCCNG00000020700.1)". Lineage: Eukaryota; Metazoa; Chordata; Mammalia; Rodentia; Castoridae. The record is from RNAcentral.